GCUGGGCGUGGUGGCAGGUGCCUGUAAUCCCAGCUACUCAGGAGGCUGAGGCAGGAGAAUCGCUUGAACCCAGGAGGCAGAGGUUGCUGUGAGCUGAGAUCGCGCCACUGCACUCCAACCUGGUGACAGAGUGAGACUCCGUCUCAAAGAAAGAAAAAAAAAAAAAAAACUCAGGAGGAGGGCUGAGUGCGAUGGCUCUUUCGCCCAGGCUGGAGUGCAGUGGCACCAUCUCAGCUCACUGCAACCUCCGCCUCCUGGGUUCAAGCGGUCCUCCCACCUCAG
RNAcentral lists this signal recognition particle RNA (282 nucleotides) under Gorilla gorilla gorilla (western lowland gorilla). RNAcentral's name for it is "Metazoan signal recognition particle RNA". It matches the Rfam family "Metazoan signal recognition particle RNA". From Rfam's summary of the family: The signal recognition particle (SRP) is a universally conserved ribonucleoprotein. The record is from Rfam by way of RNAcentral. Lineage: Eukaryota; Metazoa; Chordata; Mammalia; Primates; Hominidae.